This is a long non-coding RNA of Suricata suricatta (meerkat), 551 nucleotides long. RefSeq lists it as uncharacterized. NCBI's taxonomy places the organism in Eukaryota, Metazoa, Chordata, Mammalia, Carnivora, Herpestidae. The transcript is spliced from 3 exons. The record is from RefSeq and is a predicted model, not a curated record.
UCCUGGGGGAAGGCCAGGACAGGAUGCUGUCUGACAAGCCUUUUUGCCAGGAUGCCCAGGAAUCUGUGGUUUGCGCUCUAGCAUAAAUCGAUCCUAAAUGUCGAUGAGACACUGCUGCCAUAUUGUGGAAUUUCUGCAACUAUUGAAAUGGGUGCCAUUCAGUUUGUAGUAUGGAGUGCCAAACUUCAUUGCCCUAAAGUUCAUCCAUAUGCCCUUCAUAAAAAAAAGGUUCUAAGUGUGAUGACAUUUGGCACAGAUCACAAUAAGUGGCAGUGAAAGGCAGGAAUGCAGCGUUGACUGGGGUUAUUAAAGAAGGGGUCAUGGAAGCAUGCAAAGAACUGAUUGGAUUCCAAAAGGCAGAAGAAAAUUGGAAGGCAUUUGGGGAGAAAAUGAUACAAAUAGAAGCAUAGAUAAAGGAAAUACUAUGAUAUGAGUAACUCUUGGAACAGAGAAGAUUCCAGAUCCUUUGCACUAGACUAGAAGCAGACUUAACUCCUCACGUCACUUAGGCUUUGAUCAAAUGUUUGUGAUGUAAUUUCUUUGCGAUGUAA